Molecule: ribosomal RNA, 254 nt
Filed under: uncultured bacterium
Lineage: Bacteria
Description: partial 16S ribosomal RNA
Rfam family: Bacterial small subunit ribosomal RNA
Source: RNAcentral
UACGAAGGGGGCUAGCGUUGCUCGGAAUCACUGGGCGUAAAGGGUGCGUAGGCGGGUCUUUAAGUCAGGGGUGAAAUCCUGGAGCUCAACUCCAGAACUGCCUUUGAUACUGAGGAUCUUGAGUUCGGGAGAGGUGAGUGGAACUGCGGAGUGUAGAGGUGAAAUUCGUAGAUAUUCGCAAGAACACCAGUGGCGAAGGCGGCUCACUGGCCCGGUACUGACGCUGAGGUGCGAAAGCGUGGGGAGCAAACAGG